This 231-nucleotide long non-coding RNA is filed under the name Mytilus galloprovincialis (Mediterranean mussel). Lineage: Eukaryota; Metazoa; Mollusca; Bivalvia; Mytilida; Mytilidae. The record is from RNAcentral.
GGGUGGGGAUGAACCUUGGAGACUAGCCGGGUAUAUAUCAUUCAAAUCCAUUUGAACAUUUGGAAAUAGUUUUAAAUUGAUGUAUCCUUAACUUCAACAUAAACAUAAAUCAAUGGUUCCACUACCAAGGGGUGAAAAAUAUGUUUAGAUUUGCAAAACCUCAAAUGAAAACAAAGAAUGUUAUUUACAAACAUAUAUCAUAUUUUUGUUCUUUAAUAUUCAAUAUAAAAC